Molecule: transfer RNA, 76 nt
Filed under: Desulfovibrio sp.
Lineage: Bacteria; Pseudomonadati; Thermodesulfobacteriota; Desulfovibrionia; Desulfovibrionales; Desulfovibrionaceae
Also listed under: 7 other names
Description: tRNA-Val
Rfam family: tRNA
About the family: Transfer RNA (tRNA) molecules are approximately 80 nucleotides in length. Their secondary structure includes four short double-helical elements and three loops (D, anti-codon, and T loops). Further hydrogen bonds mediate the characteristic L-shaped molecular structure. tRNAs have two regions of fundamental functional importance: the anti-codon, which is responsible for specific mRNA codon recognition, and the 3' end, to which the tRNAs corresponding amino acid is attached (by aminoacyl-tRNA synthetases). tRNAs cope with the degeneracy of the genetic code in two manners: having more than one tRNA (with a specific anti-codon) for a particular amino acid; and 'wobble' base-pairing, i.e. permitting non-standard base-pairing at the 3rd anti-codon position.
Source: RNAcentral
GGGCGCUUAGCUCAGCUGGGAGAGCAUCGCCCUUACAAGGCGAGGGUCACAGGUUCGAGCCCUGUAGCGCCCACCA